Long non-coding RNA from Arachis duranensis, 637 nucleotides. RefSeq lists it as uncharacterized. The record is from RefSeq and is a predicted model, not a curated record. NCBI's taxonomy places the organism in Eukaryota, Viridiplantae, Streptophyta, Magnoliopsida, Fabales, Fabaceae. The transcript has 3 exons.
UGGCACCUAAAGGAUGGGGCUUAUCUGAUUUUUCAAGUGGCAGGACAAAAUAUUUCAAAGGCGAGCUCAUAGGUCUUAUUUACGCAACUCAAUACCUAAAAGUUCCUCUCAUACUUCUCAACUCCAUCUGCAUCAUUUUGAAAUUUAUUUCUGGAUAAUGCCUAGCAAGUGCAACUCAAGGACAUAAACUGGACGUAGUUGAUUAGAUUCUUAGUUCAGGACUUACCAACUGAAUCUGAAACUGUGAUCCCCUAUGUUCACUCCAUGAAACAAGCUCACAAGAUUUUGAGGACAGUUAUAAGCCCAAGACUGAUUUGCUCAAAGCUGUUGCGGUAUUUGCAGCAGCUGCAACUGGGGCAGUGGCAAUUAACCAUUCUUGGGUGGCCGCAAAUCAGGUCUAUCAAUGUCCUCUUAGUUGAAAUUCACUUGUGUAUAUUUCAGCAUGAAGUGUUUGCAUUUGGGAAUAUGUUUACAAGUCUGUGACCAUGACUGCAGGAUCUUGCCAUGGCAUUACUAUUUGUAAUAGGAUAUGUAGGCAUCAUAUUUGAGGAAUCUCUAGCUUUCAACAAAAGUGGAGUAGGACUUAGUAUAGUUGAAGAAUACAUUGAGUUUAUGUUUUGAAUUAUAGUUAAUGUAU